Molecule: long non-coding RNA, 314 nt
Organism: Motacilla alba alba
Lineage: Eukaryota; Metazoa; Chordata; Aves; Passeriformes; Motacillidae
Exons: 3
Source: RefSeq, a predicted model, not a curated record
GGUUUCAGGCACGUGUGGGUGAUUUUAGGUCAACUCAGGUGAUUUCUGACAAAACCGGAUGAAUUUGAGGCUCAUUCGGGAGAUUUGAGGCUGAAGCAGGAUUUCCCAUUGCCAAGCCCUGGGAGGCUGUGAGGAAGAGGAAGAUGCCCCGGGACACGCAGGCAGAGCAGGAGCUGAGGCUGGAGAGCAGGGAGGACAAAUCCCCGGGGCAGAAGCUCGUGGCAGAGGCCGUUUGGAGCGGCUCCACGGCGCAGGAAGGCAACGGGGAGGAAAAGGCCCGGAGAUGCCGCACGAGGAGGGGCUGCAAAGGCAGA